Molecule: unclassified non-coding RNA, 1203 nt
Filed under: Hevea brasiliensis (rubber tree)
Lineage: Eukaryota; Viridiplantae; Streptophyta; Magnoliopsida; Malpighiales; Euphorbiaceae
Source: RNAcentral
GUUUUCACAGGGUCACCAGCCAAACAGAUGUUCACUUUUUCAUCAGUGUCUAUCUCACUCUUUAGUGAAAGGGCAUUAAGUAACUGAUCAAAAUAAGGCAGCAAAUGAAGCACAAAAGGAUUUACGGAAAUCGUCCUUUUUUCGUAGGAGGAAUUCUUGAGCUCCACCAAAAUUUCUUUAAAGAUCUUCAGUAUUUCAACAGUUCUAGAAUUAGAAAGAGAAUUCUCAAUGAACUGAGAAAGAACAGGGAAAAAUGCAUUGUAAAUGCUUGUCACGUGCACAUCUACGCACAGACGAACAGGACAAGAAGAGCAACUUAAAGAGGAAUCUUCAUUAGAACCAAUUUCAGAUCUGGAAAUGCGCCAUUCCUUAUCCCCGCUUUGUCUUCCAGGUAAAGAGAUUGAAGCAUCGUCUUUGGAAUGUAAACCUUUCUCAAGUUCUUCUAAUUCAUUCUUGUCACGGUCUUCAAGCAUGGAACAAAUCAGAGAUGUAAAACUUUUUCGGCAGUCUCUUGUCAUAUUAGUGAGAGUAGCAGAUAAAUCUGUCUCUCUGAUAAUGUUUCGUCGAGAAAAAACCUAAAGCCACUUCCUUGUAUAACGCUUAGUGACAUCAUAAACUCCAUCUUUUGCAAUUGCAAUUACAUAAUUCAAUUUCUUAUCCCACCCCUUUUCAUAUAACAAUGGUCUGUCAUAUACUCGGUCACAAGGGUCAAGAUGCAUCCAUCUUCCCAAAACUUGAGAGAAGCACUCCGUCCAAAGAUGAUCAGUAAAAUCCAGGAUCAAACGAGAUUCAUAGCCAAAAGCUCGACAGUAAAGUGUAAAGCAAUUGGCCCACUCCCCACAACGGCCCCUUCUAGUUUCUACGAGCUUUAAUGGAUCAUUGUAACGUGGGAAUCGAGUGAUUCUGGAACAAGAAUUGCAGUGAUAAAGUUCAACUCGACUUGCUCCAUAUUGACUUUCAGAAGGAAUAGUAACACCCAUUCCUUGAUUAAUGGUAUCAUUGCCACAACUAUCACAAGGUGGUGCGUUAACCCACCUGAAAGAUUCUUUGGACCAGAAAAGCAGCUGCAGCAGGAAAGCAUGGUCUUUUUCAAUUUUUGAUGGUUUAAAGUUCCCCUCCUUGGCCAAAGAAACCAAUGCCUUCUCCUCAAGCUCUUCUACAGGAACUGUUUUUCGCGCUGCCUCCUGGCGCGCUGGGUCUUCA